RNAcentral lists this ribosomal RNA (45 nucleotides) under Metarhizium cylindrosporum. RNAcentral describes it as "partial 28S ribosomal RNA". The record is from RNAcentral. Lineage: Eukaryota; Fungi; Ascomycota; Sordariomycetes; Hypocreales; Clavicipitaceae.
GACCUCGAAUCAGGUAGGAAUACCCGCUGAACUUAAGCAUAUCAU